CAGCAGCCGCGGUAAUACGGAGGGGGCUAGCGUUGUUCGGAAUUACUGGGCGUAAAGCGCACGUAGGCGGCUUGGUAAGUUAGAGGUGAAAGCCUGGAGCUCAACUCCAGAAUUGCCUUUAAGACUGCCGAGCUAGUAGGUGAGAGAGGUAAGUGGAAUUCCGAGUGUAGAGGUGAAAUUCGUAGAUAUUCGGAAGAACACCAGUGGCGAAGGCGGCUUACUGGCUCAUUCUAGACGCUGAGGUGCGAAAGCGUGGGGAGCAAACAGGAUUAGAUACCCGCGUAGUCCCUGUCUCUUAUAC
This 301-nucleotide ribosomal RNA is filed under the name uncultured bacterium. RNAcentral describes it as "partial 16S ribosomal RNA". It matches the Rfam family "Bacterial small subunit ribosomal RNA", at positions 509 to 807 of the family's 1533-position model. The record is from RNAcentral.